GAUGAACGCUGGCGGCGUGCCUAACACAUGCAUGUCGAGCGAUUCUCUUCGGAGAAGAGCGGCGGACGGGUGAGUAACGCGGGGUAACCUGCCCUGUACACACGGAUAACAUACCGAAAGGUAUGCUAAUACGAGAUAAUAUGCUUUUAUCGCAUGGUAGAAGUAUCAAAGCUUUUGCGGUACAGGAUGGACCCGCGUCUGAUUAGCUAGUUGGUAAGGUAACGGCUUACCAAGGCGACGAUCAGUAGCCGACCUGAGAGGGUGAUCGGCCACAUUGGAACUGAGGCACGGUCCAAACUCCUACGGGAGGCAGCAGUGGGGAAUAUUGCACAAUGGGCGAAAGCCUGAUGCAGCAACGCCGCGUGAGCGAUGAAGGCCUUCGGGUCGUAAAGCUCUGUCCUCAAGGAAGAUAAUGACGGUACUUGAGGAGGAAGCCCCGGCUAACUACGUGCCAGCCGCCGCGGUAA
RNAcentral lists this ribosomal RNA (467 nucleotides) under uncultured bacterium. RNAcentral describes it as "partial 16S ribosomal RNA". It matches the Rfam family "Bacterial small subunit ribosomal RNA", at positions 28 to 523 of the family's 1533-position model. The record is from RNAcentral.